RNAcentral lists this ribosomal RNA (220 nucleotides) under uncultured bacterium. RNAcentral describes it as "partial 16S ribosomal RNA". It matches the Rfam family "Bacterial small subunit ribosomal RNA", at positions 57 to 305 of the family's 1533-position model. The record is from RNAcentral.
GCAAGUCGAGCGCUCCCUUCGGAGGGAGCGGCGGACGGGUGAGUAACGCGUGGGAACAUACCCUUUUCUACGGAAUAGCCUCGGGAAACUGAGAGUAAUACCGUAUAAGCCCUUCGGGGGAAAGAUUUAUCGGGGAAGGAUUGGCCCGCGUUAGAUUAGAUAGUUGGUGGGGUAAUGGCCUACCAAGUCUACGAUCUAUAGCUGGUUUUAGAGGACGAUC